Molecule: ribosomal RNA, 468 nt
Filed under: uncultured bacterium
Lineage: Bacteria
Description: partial 16S ribosomal RNA
Rfam family: Bacterial small subunit ribosomal RNA
Source: RNAcentral
GACGAACGCUGGCGGCGUGCUUAACACAUGCAAGUCGAACGGAAAGGCCCUGCUUUUGUGGGGUGCUCGAGUGGCGAACGGGUGAGUAACACGUGAGUAACCUGCCCUUGACUUUGGGAUAACUUCAGGAAACUGGGGCUAAUACCGGAUAGGAGCUCCUGCUGCAUGGUGGGGGUUGGAAAGUUUCGGCGGUUGGGGAUGGACUCGCGGCUUAUCAGCUUGUUGGUGGGGUAAUGGCUUACCAAGGCUUUGACGGGUAGCCGGCCUGAGAGGGUGACCGGCCACAUUGGGACUGAGAUACGGCCCAGACUCCUACGGGAGGCAGCAGUGGGGAAUAUUGCACAAUGGGCGGAAGCCUGAUGCAGCAACGCCGCGUGCGGGAUGACGGCCUUUGGGUUGUAAACCGCUUUCGCCUGUGACGAAGCGUGAGUGACGGUAAUGGGUAAAGAAGCACCGGCUAACUACGUG